Long non-coding RNA from Oreochromis niloticus (Nile tilapia), 1160 nucleotides. RefSeq lists it as uncharacterized. NCBI's taxonomy places the organism in Eukaryota, Metazoa, Chordata, Actinopteri, Cichliformes, Cichlidae. The record is from RefSeq and is a predicted model, not a curated record. The transcript is spliced from 3 exons.
UUUCCCUGCACAUCUGCAAUUCAUUCACUCAUCAGCGGGCUGGGGUAUUUAAGAUCGGCUGAGGAACUGAUUCUCUGCCAGUUUGUCCCAAGCAUUAUGAUGGUAAACUGGCAAAACUUGUUGUUUCCUAUGCCUUAUUGCCCCCUAAAGGUUUCAGUCCACUUACCUGUAAAACCCAUCUGCCUCACCUUGUGGAAUUCUCAGCUCACAGCCAGAUUGGAUACCCUCCGUAACCACAGUCUUCUGCUAUUUGCCGAAACCCAAGUCUCGCAAGACUGAACAAGAAGCCGAUGACACAAAUAAGUAAAGGGGGUUACAAGAGGAGUCCCUCAUUGAGCCUGUUGCUUGGAAGCUGGACAGACUGAGAAUGAUGGGAGCGUGCUCACCAGACCUUAGAGCAUCUUAAAAUGGACAUAUGUGUGGGAUCUUUGUUUGAGCAUGGGACCAGCUGGGUGCGGUAGCGUAGGUGUUCAAAGACAAGCAGGGGGUAUCAGUGAAGUCAUCUCUGACAGUAAAAAUCAAGUUUCAGUUGAAAGAAAUAACAGGUCAGAUGCAGGGGCAAGCGAGUUGGAUCGGCAUGUUUUACCUCAUUUACUCCACACUCUGUUCCGAUGAUCUCAUUUCCUCCAGGGCAUCCCGCUGGACGUACCAUCUUGGAUGCUGACCAACCACUUGGGCCUGAAUGAUAGAGUGUGAUCUGAAUGGGUAGAUCCAUGAGUGUUUUGCACAUCAUUGUCCCACAGAAAGGACCAUUACCAGGACCUUUUUCUUUAUGUCCAAGCCAGACUUGACCACAGCAGACUUUCUUCUGUUCCUGUGCAUCUGUUUUAAGACAGGUGAAGGUGCCACUGCACAUAAGUUUCAGUUCAUUCCUACAGUUUGUUUUUUGUUGAUAGACUGACAGAUUUACUAGAAAUCUACUGAGUCCAGUACCCAUCCAUGCAUCCAUCAAUUUUUUUCCACUUAUCCAAUUGUAGGGUUGCAUAGGGGCUCAAGUAUAUCCCAUAUCUGUCAAAGCACUUGAACGAACUUCAUCACAAUAUUUUUUGACUUAAUAGCAAAGAAAACUUCUAACCUUUCAUUGUUAGCGUCCUUUAUAUUACAUUAGCUCUACUGCUGGCAUCCCAUGCACUGCUGCUGAUGCUUGGCAUAGUAAACAC